GCCCAUAUAAUGCAGUGGUUUGAAUGUUAAAUUAGAAUUUUAGAGAUCAGAAUUUGAAUCCCUGCUUGGGCA
Molecule: transfer RNA, 72 nt
Filed under: Anolis carolinensis (green anole)
Lineage: Eukaryota; Metazoa; Chordata; Lepidosauria; Squamata; Anolidae
Rfam family: tRNA
About the family: Transfer RNA (tRNA) molecules are approximately 80 nucleotides in length. Their secondary structure includes four short double-helical elements and three loops (D, anti-codon, and T loops).
Source: Rfam by way of RNAcentral